UACAGAGAGUGCAAGCGUUAAUCGGAAUUACUGGGCGUAAAGCGCGCGUAGGCGGAUACUUUAGUCGGAUGUGAAAUCCCCGAGCUUAACUUGGGAAUUGCAUUCGAUACUGGGUGUCUGGAGUAUGGUAGAGGGAAGUGGAAUUUCUGGUGUAGCGGUGAAAUGCGUAGAUAUCAGAAAGAACACCAGUGGCGAAGGCGACUUCCUGGACCAAUACUGACGCUGAGGCGCGAAAGCGUGGGGAGCAAACAGGAUUAGAGACCCUGGUAGUCCACGCUGUCAACGAUGAGAACUAGAUGUUGGGAAGCUUGCUUCUUAGUAUCGAAGCUAACGCGUUAAGUUCUCCGCCUGGGGAGUACGGCCGCAAGGUUA
RNAcentral lists this ribosomal RNA (372 nucleotides) under uncultured prokaryote. RNAcentral's name for it is "bacterial SSU rRNA". It matches the Rfam family "Bacterial small subunit ribosomal RNA", at positions 524 to 896 of the family's 1533-position model. The record is from RNAcentral.